RNAcentral lists this non-coding RNA (169 nucleotides) under uncultured Rhodobacter sp. Its description in RNAcentral is "Ruegeria cis52 sRNA". It matches the Rfam family "Ruegeria cis52 sRNA". Rfam says of the family: Cis-encoded. The record is from RNAcentral. Lineage: Bacteria; Pseudomonadati; Pseudomonadota; Alphaproteobacteria; Rhodobacterales.
AAGCGCGUGUUUCAGCACCACGUCGCGGAAGGCCACGCCCUUGAGCCGCGCGGUGCGGAUAUACUGGGCCGUCAUCACCUCGGUCAUCGAGGCGCGGGUCAUCCGCGCGAUGUAGCCGGUGCCGUAAAGCGCGAUGGUUGCAACCGGCAGGGCGAAGUUCCAGAAGGUG